Molecule: ribosomal RNA, 226 nt
Filed under: uncultured bacterium
Lineage: Bacteria
Description: partial 16S ribosomal RNA
Rfam family: Bacterial small subunit ribosomal RNA
Source: RNAcentral
CGGAACACGUACAGAACCUUCCUUUAAGCGGGGGAUAGCCCAUAGAAAUGUGGAUUAAUACCCCAUAGUAAUACCAGCUGGCAUCAGUUGGUAUUUAAAGAUUUAUCACUUAAAGAUGGCUGUGCGGCUGAUUAGGUAGUUGGUGUGGGUAACGGCCCACCAAGCCAGCGAUCAGUAACUGGUGUGAGAGCACGACCAGUCACACGGGCACUGAGACACGGGCCCG